GUCCACGCCGUAAACGAUGGAUACUAGCUGUUGGAAGCAAUUUCAGUGGCUAAGCGAAAGUGAUAAGUAUCCCACCUGGGGAGUACGUUCGCAAGAAUGAAACUCAAAGGAAUUGACGGGGGCCCGCACAAGCGGUGGAGCAUGUGGUUUAAUUCGAUGAUACGCGAGGAACCUUACCAAGGCUUAAAUGUAGAUUGACCGGACUGGAAACAGUUUUUUCGCAAGACAAUUUACAAGGUGCUGCAUGGUUGUCGU
Molecule: ribosomal RNA, 255 nt
Filed under: uncultured bacterium
Lineage: Bacteria
Description: partial 16S ribosomal RNA
Rfam family: Bacterial small subunit ribosomal RNA
Source: RNAcentral